This 654-nucleotide unclassified non-coding RNA is filed under the name Hevea brasiliensis (rubber tree). Lineage: Eukaryota; Viridiplantae; Streptophyta; Magnoliopsida; Malpighiales; Euphorbiaceae. The record is from RNAcentral.
CAUGGAGAAAAUUUAAAAUCCCCUGUAUCAUGGACCCUAAAAGGCUAGUUUGAUUGACGAAAAAUUAUUUUACAAUUCUGCUAAAUUGCAGUAUCACUUUCAUUUCCAGUUUCAGACGUUCUAGUCUGAUCUUCAGCAUACCCUGUCAUUAAAGCUGGUUGUGUUGGAUGGUCAAACUUACAAGCAGGUCCAAACUUGCAAAUACCAUACCGGCUAUAGUAUGAACAUACAUGCUGACCAGGUCUCAACGGCAGGCCCUUGUCACUAAGAGCACAUGGAGAUGACUUUGGGAUCUGAUUCUUUGGAUGAUGAUAUUUGCAGUUAGACUUGAAUUUACAGUCCCCGGUUUUCAUAUAAUAAUUGCACUCUGGUUGACCUGGUCGUUCUGGAAAUUCAUCCACUAGUGUAUGCUGCUGAUGUGCAUAGACAUUGUUAUCUGUAGCCGGAUUGCUUAUGACAUAAGCUGGAGCCAGAUGUAUACUCCUUUCUGGUGAAUAUAUAGGAGCCUGAUAACCAUUCCAUUCUGGAUUUUGUGAAGUAACCCCUUGAGUUGCUGAAAACAUAAUUGGCACAAAGGGGGCAUUCUCAUUUAGUCCUCUUGGCGACGACCAAGUUGCUACACUUGAUUGUGAAGAACUCUGUAAAGCAGCAGAC